UACAGAGGUCUCAAGCGUUGUUCGGAUUCAUUGGGCGUAAAGGGUGCGUAGGUGGCGGGGUAAGUCGGAUGUGAAAUCUCAGGGCUCAACCCUGAGACUGCAUUCGAUACUGCCUUGCUCGAGGACUGGAGAGGAGAUUGGAAUUCACGGUGUAGCAGUGAAAUGCGUAGAUAUCGUGAGGAAGACCAGUGGCGAAGGCGGAUCUCUGGACAGUUCCUGACACUGAGGCACGAAGGCCAGGGGAGCAAACGGG
This 253-nucleotide ribosomal RNA is filed under the name uncultured bacterium. RNAcentral's name for it is "partial 16S ribosomal RNA". It matches the Rfam family "Bacterial small subunit ribosomal RNA", at positions 524 to 776 of the family's 1533-position model. The record is from RNAcentral.